Long non-coding RNA from Oryzias latipes (Japanese medaka), 354 nucleotides. RefSeq lists it as uncharacterized. Lineage: Eukaryota; Metazoa; Chordata; Actinopteri; Beloniformes; Adrianichthyidae. The record is from RefSeq and is a predicted model, not a curated record.
AUCAGCAAGUGUUGCUUUAUGUGUCAGGAAUAUAAAAUGAUGACGGAUGAUCUUCCACAGCAUUUGAAAGGGGUCUGUGAGCCCUCGUAGUUGGCUCAUUUUUUAAGGACUAUGUUGACUCAGUUUUUAAUACGACUCUACAUCUUCUUUUACUCCAUGGCAGAUGCAGUCCUGUAACAACUUCAUGAAUUUGAGGUCUUUAGUGCCUGAAAAAAACUAUUCCAGGGUUUUUCUCCAAAGUUUUAGAAGUUUUUUGGGAACUGGUCUAAUGGAAGGAAAAACGUGUGGAAAACAUCUGUCACAUUCCUUAUUUUUAUUAGCUAUUUUACUGAAUAAAACUUGUUGAGGAAAACA